Molecule: non-coding RNA, 5503 nt
Organism: Oryctolagus cuniculus (rabbit)
Lineage: Eukaryota; Metazoa; Chordata; Mammalia; Lagomorpha; Leporidae
Source: RefSeq, a predicted model, not a curated record
GUGCCUCGCCUCGGAGUUGGCAGCCAGGACACCGCUCUGAGGUUCCGGACUCCGCGCCAAGGGACCCCACGGCGCACGCAGCUGCUGUCCGCGGGCAACGGCCUCGGCGAGCUUCAUACCCGCCUCCCGGGGCCACCGCGCUCCAGGUCCCCCUGACUGGCCAUGCCCACCCGGCAGCUGCUGCACCGCUCCCUGGCCUGUCUUCCACCGGGGUUUCUGUCUCGCUGCUUAGCUUAUGCGAUCCAGGAGGCUCCAAGCUCCUCAGUGUUGGGCAGGACUCUCAGAUGGAGCCAGCACUGGGCACUGGGAACUCCAAGAGGCUCGGCCAUUCCGGACAGCUAAGAUCUGUCAUCCAGGGUGCAACCUGACCCUCCUCCAUCACCACCCCGGCGAGAAAGAAGUUCCCCCCAUGAGCUCCGUUCCAUCCAGAGUACCUAGAUGCCGGCCCAAAGAAGACUGAGCGAGCCCUGGGGAGGAGGAAGGGACAGCCGAAGAUGGAGGACGGCCAAAUAGUGACCCAAGUGUAGAAGCGCCCAUCACAUGCAGGCAAUGGAGUGUGCCAUCAGCAUCGUCCGGGGAAGCGACCCGAUGCUUUUUCCUUGCUCUGGGGACCUGGGCCUCUGCAGGAAACCUGCAUUCCUUCCAACCACCCGGGAGCCACCGGGAGUAAGAAGGCGAAGUUUUCCCCUGUGAGCUCAGGCGUCAGAAGUCGUGCCUUCCCCAGCUCAUGGAGCCGGCCCUGCUGGGGGGCUCCUGCCUCUUGUUGUUGUUGUUGUUGUUUUUGACAGGCAGAGUUAGAUAGUGAGAGAGAGAGAGAGAAAGGUCUUCCUUCCGUUGGUUCACCCCCAAAGUGGCCGCUAUGGCAGGCGCGCUGCGCUGAUCCGAAGCCAGGAGCCAGGUGCUUCUCCUGGUCUCCCAUGGGGUGCAGGGCCCAAGCACUUGAGCCAUCCUCCACUGCACUCCUGGGCCACAGCAGAGAACUGGACUGGAAGAGGAGCAACCAGGACAGAAUCCAGUGCCCCAACUGGUACUAGAACCCAGGGUGCCGGUGCCACAGGCGGAGGAUUAGCCUAGUGAGCCGCGGCACCAGCCGGCUCCUGCCUCUUUAGGAGAGUGGUGCAGGGACUUUGGGAUCCAGCCACAAUGGGUUCAGAAAGUUUAGCCAAGGAAAAGUUCCUGAAGGCCAUUGGCCUGGUUCUCCAACCCCACUGAAGACAGAGGAGAGGAAGGGAGGAAGACUACAGAUGUGCUGUCAAACAAAAUCUCCACCCACUCCUGCCAGAUGCGGGCUCUGUUAACAAAAUUCCUCUGCCCUUGUACCAACCCCACGCCAUAUGCUGAUCCUGAAAUGAUGGGAUGAGACACUCAAUCCUUAUUUUUUUUUCUUUUUGUUGUUCUGGCCAUUUCUUUCUUGAAGUUCAGUAUUUUUUUUUAAGAAUUCCACUUUCAAGUGGAAAUAGAGCCCAUUUCAAUUCUGGUCUUUUCGCUAUAAGUCUUUACUCUGAUCUUCAAAGUAUCUUACUGUCAGGAGAAAUUAAAACUCGGAUGUGUUCUGAUGGACAACCGAAGACCAGAGGAGAAAGCAGCUGUUUCCGUUUUCUCCAAGUCUACCACCCGCAGAACUGAGUCCUCCACCCCUAUGGAUAUGGAGUCCCUCUCUUUUCCUUACAGAUUCCUUGAGUCGCUGCCACAAAUUCCCGUCUUCACCAGCGAGCUCAGCACGGCCUCUGCGGUCACUGUCACCAGUGCAGCCAGACUCUGCUGCACAGAGUCUGUGGACUCGGCCAAGUGUGAUUUGUGAGGACAGAUCCGUGCAGGAACCAUCACCGGUGCCAAACUGAAGAUACAGCCAACGCAGGAGGGACCUGAGGUGCACCAGGAAGUCAGCUGGGAGAUCAUGAGUCAUGUUUACACGUUCCCCAGAUGUCCUGGGUGCUGGCAUUACGCAGGUCUGUGAAGUUCCGCGGGUGAGAGUAACAGCACAGAGGACAUUCCCGUUCCCCUCAGCACCUGUGAGUUUACCUUCAGCUUCAGAUGAACACAGUAUCUUAUACACAACAGGCUCCUCCCUCCAGUGGCUGGAUCUCUGAAAAAAGACUAAAAUCCAUUCAAAUGCAAUAAUAAAAAAAAAUGUAGUGUCAUCAUUCAAACAGAAAAGGACGCAUAUUAAAAAUACAAGGCGGGGCCGGCACUGUGGUGCAGUGGGCUAAGCCGCAGCCUGCAGGGCCAGCAUCCCAUAUGGGUGCCAGUUCUAGACCUAGCUGCUCCACUUCUGAUCCAGCUCCCUACUGAUGUGCCUGGGAAAACUCCAGAAGAUGGCCCAAGUCCUUGGGCCCCGCACCCAUGCAGGAGACGUGGAAGAAGCUCCUGGCUCCUGGCUUCGGAUCAGUUUAGCUCCAGUUGUUGUGGCCAUUUGAGGAGUGAACAAGCGGAUGGAAGAUCUCUCUCUCUCUCUCUCUUUCUCUCUCUCUUUCUCUCUGCCUCUCUGUAACUCUUUCAAAUAAGUAAAUCUUUUUUUUUUAAAUAUUCCUUCUUGCAUGAAGAAGUCUAUAUUAAAUGUGGGGAGCAAUCCGGACUAGACUAAGUUACUCGAAUUAGGACUUAUUCUAUGCAUCUGCUCUCCCACAAUAUGGCGCUGGGAGAGAAGUAAACAGCUUCCGCACAGCUGCCUCAAGUUCAACUAAUAAACUGUAGGACUUGCUCCUGAUUGGAGGAGAGCAGCGUACUCGGCGUGUGGGCAGCCGAGUUGGGAUUGGCGGAGGAGGACUAUAAAGGAGGAGAGAGACGGCAUGCACCAGGAACAUCUAUGGGGAACAUCUAUCUGAAGGAACACCUGUGCAGCCCCCAAGAAAGCCGGCCGGCGGUGUGCCGCUCCCCUGCGGAAGUGGGGAAUGUGGCCAGGGGGAACUGCCCUUCCACGGAGGUGGAAGGGAUAGUAGCCAACCCAGGAAGAACCAGCAGCAAACCCGGGGAGGGCCGAGCAGACGAAAGAACAGCGCAGGGUCCUGUGUCGCUCCUCCACGAAGAGGGGGAGCGACAUAAUGGUGCCGUGACUCGGAUAGGAAACCUAGCUCGGAUAGGAAACCUAGCUCGGAUAGGAAACCUGACUCGGAUAGGAAACCUAGGACGGAUAUGAAACUUAGGAGGAAAGAAACGGGAAGAACUGGGAAAAUACCGGAGAGAGAGACUAGCAAACAGCCUAGGGAAAAGCCGGACGAAAAGGGUGCCGGAAGAAGCUAUUGAAAGCCUAGGCAUAGACUCGGAUACGGACUACGGGGGGAAGCUGGGAGAAAUUUCUAAGGGCGAAAGCGAAAGUGAAAGCUAGAACAAACAGACUCGGACGCGGACUGUGGGGAGAGGCCAGGAGAAAUGAGGGAGGAAUAUCGUUGGAGGAAAGCUUGGGGAAACAUACCGGGUAGAGAAAAAUGUUAGGGAAAUUGAAGCCGCGGGGGGCAGGCCGAGGCGGAAACGGAAGCCACUUUGGGGUUCUCAAGUUAGCCCGGGAAUAGGGGGCGAAAAGUUGAAACCAGAAGCUGAAACGUGAGCCAGGUUGGGAUCUGUCUGAUUAGCCCGGGGAGCAAAGGACGGGAAGCCAAACCGUGGGGCGGAGACGUACGCUGGGUUGAAUUCGCCAGGCUAGCCCGGGGAACUUAGAUUGAAUGCUAGUGGCGGACACGUAAGCUACGCUGUGUUACUCGCGGAAGCCGCCGCGUGCAGAGAGAGCACGGGGCGUGAAUAGAUAGGGAACGGGGCUGGCGUAGGCCGUGGUUCAGACGCGAAAGGGUUAAGCGUGGAGACCGCGGAGCGCGCGAAGCCGAGCCGCGCAAAGCCGGGAAGCUGCGCAGAUGAGAGAGGCGCGCGGGCUGAAGCGGCGCAGAGCCGGGAACCCGCCGGCGGGGCGAGGUGCCGGAAAGCCGCAGGGAUAAGAGAAACAGAAGUUUAGAAGUAAAGUGAGAAAAAUAGGAAUGCUGGAAGAUAGAAGUAAAAUGGGAGAAAUAGGAAUGCCCGGAGAUAGAGAAAUAGAGAAAUAAAAAGGCCUCCCUACAACACUGCAAUGUGAGAGCUUGGAUUCGGUCUGCCCGAUUAGUGAGGCGAUGAGCACCUGGGCGGCUAGCAGCUUAUGCGCCGCAGGUCACCGAAGACAGGCACGAAUUAACAUCAGUAAGGCUUCCCCACAAUACAACAAUAUUAAGCUUGGAUUCGGUCUGCCUGAUUUAAGGCGGUAAGCGCCAGCAAGCAGCUCGACCAGAGUAUGAGCUGCAGGUCACCGAAGAUAGGCACGAACCAACACUAAUAAGUCUCCCCCACAAUAAGGCAAUGAGAAGGCUUGGAUUCGGUUUGCCUGAUAGGUCUUGUAAGUCCCCUGCAGGCAGAGCAGAGCAUGCGCUGCAGGGCACCGAACACAGGCACGCAUCAGCGCCUAAAAACCUCCUCACAACAUGGCGAAGAGAGGACCCGGAUUCGGUUUUCCUGAUUGAUAGGACUUGUAAGAGCCUGUGGCAACUCUAGCAAGUAGAGCAGAGUGUGUGCCGCGGGACACCGAAGACAGGCGCGUAUCAACGCCAAAAAAUAAAAAGAAAGGGGGAUCUGUGGGGAGCAAUCCGGACUAGACUAAGUUACUCGAAUUAGGACUUAUUCUAUGCAUCUGCUCUCCCACAAUAUGGCGCUGGGAGAGAAGUAAACAGCUUCCGCACAGCUGCCUCCAGUUCAACUAAUAAACUGUAGGACUUGCUCCUGAUUGGAGGAGAGCAGCGUACUCGGCGUGUGGGCAGCCGAGUUGGGAUUGGCGGAGGAGGACUAUAAAGGAGGAGAGAGACGGCAUGCACCAGGAACAUCUAUGGGGAACAUCUAUCUGAAGGAACACCUGUGCAGCCCCCAAGAAAGCCGGCCGGCGGUGUGCCGCUCCCCUGCGGAAGUGGGGAAUGUGGCCAGGGGGAACUGCCCUUCCACGGAGGUGGAAGGGAUAGUAGCCAACCCGGGAAGAACCAGCAGCAAACCCGGGGAGGGCCGAGCAGACGAAAGAACAGCGCAGGGUCCUGUGUCGCUCCUCCACGAAGAGGGGGAGCGACAAUUAAAUCCUUCAACUGAUUGGAUAUGGUCCACCCCAAAUCAUAAAGGCUUAUGUGCUUUACUCAAAGACCAUUGAUUUCAACGUUAAUCUUAUCCGAAAAAUGCCUUUGCAGAAGCAGCCAAAAUAUUAUCUGGCCAAUUACAAAAUCAACAUGAAGGGAGCAGGCAGCAAGCCCUCUCCCUGUAGUUUCCAGGUUAACGGAGUUCAGAGGGAGAUGAGCAGUCUACACGUGCACAGCCGCUGUACCUGGGAAAGCCUGCAGAACACAGUGGAUGGACACGCGUGCAGAGCUGGGAAUCAAUUCCAAGGCCGAAGCCUGCUGCUACCAUCAAGCAGAAUCCUAUUCCGUCCCCAAAUGUUAUUGAGCUGACAACAGGAGACAGUGUGAUGUGGGCUUAAUAAAAGCUGGGUUGGAAGGCAAAGUGAAUCUUA